CAUUGGGAAGCUAAGCAGCAUUAACCUUUUAAGUUAAAGACUGAGAGUGCAAACCUCUCCCCGAUGA
RNAcentral lists this transfer RNA (67 nucleotides) under Martes foina (beach marten). Its description in RNAcentral is "tRNA-Lys". It matches the Rfam family "tRNA". From Rfam's summary of the family: Transfer RNA (tRNA) molecules are approximately 80 nucleotides in length. Lineage: Eukaryota; Metazoa; Chordata; Mammalia; Carnivora; Mustelidae. The record is from RNAcentral.